This 468-nucleotide ribosomal RNA is filed under the name uncultured bacterium. Its description in RNAcentral is "partial 16S ribosomal RNA". It matches the Rfam family "Bacterial small subunit ribosomal RNA", at positions 28 to 507 of the family's 1533-position model. The record is from RNAcentral.
GACGAACGCUGGCGGCGUGCUUAACACAUGCAAGUCGAACGGAAAGGCCCUGCUUUUGUGGGGUGCUCGAGUGGCGAACGGGUGAGUAACACGUGAGUAACCUGCCCUUGACUUUGGGAUAACUUCAGGAAACUGGGGCUAAUACCGGAUAGGAGCUCCUGCUGCAUGGUGGGGGUUGGAAAGUUUCGGCGGUUGGGGAUGGACUCGCGGCUUAUCAGCUUGUUGGUGGGGUAGUGGCUUACCAAGGCUUUGACGGGUAGCCGGCCUGAGAGGGUGACCGGGCACAUUGGGACUGAGGGACGGCCCAGACUCCUACGGGAGGCAGCGGUGGGAAAUAUUGCACAAUGGGCGGAAGCCUGAUGCAGCAACGCCGCGUGCGGGAUGACGGCCUUCGGGUUGUAAACCGCUUUCGCCUGUGACGAAGCGUGAGUGACGGUAAUGGGUAAAGAAGCACCGGCUAACUACGUG